AAUUCAGUGCAAGAUGCCUGUGAGGCCUCCGGGGAAAUUUUGAAAAAUUCAGGUUUUCUUUGUCUCUGGGGUAUUUUGAAGUCCCGAACACUUAGCCUCAAACAAGGGCACUGGUCACAUCUCCUUUCAGCAGUAUUUUUCCUGUUGUUCAACCUAACUCUUGUGAAGUCAACUGGUUUUCAUCACUUGAGACACCUGCUUUUCUCUUAAAAUUUAAGAAAUGGUUUAGGACUAAAGCCCUCUCCCCCCAUUAUGCAGUUCUUCCCCUAAAGAAAAAUCAUUAUUUUCUAUAGGUCCUUGGGCAUUUUGACAUAUGAAAUAAAUAAAGCAAGUUCCUUGGUACAGUUACCAGAACAACCUGAACACUGGCUUUGAGAGAAUUAAGCUUAAAUAACUGAUUUAAAAAUUACUUUCCUUCAGACUAGGGUAACUGUUGGCAGGGACCCCAGGAGGGUCUGUGGUCUGUUUUAAUUUAUCCAAAGCCCAUCUCUCCUCUAACUCCCUGCUGUGAAAACCCAUCAUAUUUGCUAUCCUGGCAGAGAUGGAGAAUCUGAGCUCAGGAUUCCACUCUGUCUGGAGGGAGGACCCCAGAGUUCAGCAGCACCAUCAGAGGUUUUCAUUCCUCAGCCUUCCAAUCAGAUGUUCCAGCCCGUGCCUCAGCACCCAGAUUUUGCCCGUUGAUCAUUCCGAUCGCGUGCCUUGGCUCGCCGCGCCUCACACGCUCCGUUCCUUGGAUACAGACAGCAUCCAACACAUUCCUCAGCAGCUCCAGCUCCAGCAGGGCUUCACUCAGGGUGGAGGACACAGGGGAGCCUCUGCAGGGCACCACUGCCCGGAGCCAGAGGAUUCCUCUGGUGGGACUGGCAGGGAGCUGAUGAUCAGCCAGGCAGCUCUUCGUGUCCUCCAGAUGGACAGCGGUGCCCAGGCGCUGAGAUGUGUCACCAGAAAGAUGACAGGGUGAAAAAUGGCACCAGUGGGAGCGAUGCUCCCCACAGGAUGGUGUAUCCCAGCUUCCAGCCCUCCAGUGAGAGACCCCUCCAUCCCAGAGGUUCUCCCUGGACUGGAUUUCGCUGCCAGCCACUCUGAUGUUUCCCUCUCUGUCUCUCCCUUCUCUCCACACAACCUCCUUACACCCCCCUGUGUAUCAAAUAACAAUUGCAGCCACACCAGGGCAUCAGGUAUGUCUGUGCACCUCUGAAUUCCCUCCGUAGGCAAAGUCCCCACCCACUUUUGCCUGUUUUGUAUAUUUUUAUGUAAAAAUAUGCUGAGUGGGUGUAUGCCUUAUUACAUGUGUAGGAAACAUGGGGAAUGAGGACUUGAGGUACCGCCACAAUAAAAGAGAGGGACAAGGCUCUUCGGCUGGCUUUGCCCUUGAUUCCCUGUUUAAAUAUAAUUUGCCAUUGUUAGACAAGAGACCCUCUCCAAAUUACUUCUGAGAUCCAGGAGACCAUUUCUGCAGCAACAAGUUACUGCUUGUAGGCAGCCUGUGGCUGGAAAAAUGCCCUUGAUAUUACAGAAAUGGUAACUUGUUUAAUAGAUCCAAAUAAAUAGGAAACCCAGGAGCUCGGGUGGCAGCGUCUGAGUCCUGUACUGAGAGGUGCACAGACCUUACGGCAAGGCUAAAUAUAGGUCCCACAAACCAGAACAACAGAGCUUUUACUGAGAAGAUAAUCAAGCCCUGGAGGAAACUACAUGAUAUAAAGCUUAGAUUUAAAAUAAAUGUGAAAUGAGUUGGUGGAUUCGGGACUGGUUCCUUAUGGAAAAGUUUUCAUAUCGGAAAAAAAAUCGUUUGGUGAAAUGGGCUCUUUAAUUAGCAGUUUCAGCACAAUGCUGGAGGAUUGGAGGGGUUCUGGAGCCCCAUCCCUCACCUCUCCAUCUUGCCCUUUGCAAGGAGAGCUGGGAUCAGGGGAGGGGUGGGUUUUCCAGGCUGCUGUGUGUAAGGGGCUGAGGAGGAGCCCAGUUUGCUCUCCUUGUGCUCCCCUGUUACCAUGCACUUUCCCAAGAACAUCCUGCAUCUCCAAAAGCAACACCCAGAGCAGCAGGUGCUGAAUCCAGGCAGGAAAUCCACAGACUGGGCCUGGACACAAGACUGAUGUCCAUGGCUCCCUGCACACCAGGCUCUCAUCCUGCACCCAUCAGUGGCCAGGCUGCAGCCACUGGGACUGCCCAAACCAGCCAGAUCUUCAAUGCAACAUCCCAGCUGUGAUGCCCAGAGAGCGAGGCUGGAUCCCAUCCAGCAGGGCACACCAUGGCACUGCCAUGUCCUCACCCAGCUCUCCUUCAGCCAGCUAAAUGGAUGCAAAUUAAAAAAUAAGACCAAGUUGUUCUUCCUUUUCCCCCCUCAUUCUUCCCUCAUUUCAUCUCACACUGUAAUCUUGUGGUUUGCAAUUAAAUUGUGUCUUUA
Taeniopygia guttata (zebra finch) is the source of this 2404-nucleotide non-coding RNA. The record is from RefSeq and is a predicted model, not a curated record. NCBI's taxonomy places the organism in Eukaryota, Metazoa, Chordata, Aves, Passeriformes, Estrildidae.